Anopheles merus is the source of this 1199-nucleotide long non-coding RNA. RefSeq lists it as uncharacterized. The transcript is spliced from 3 exons. The record is from RefSeq and is a predicted model, not a curated record. NCBI's taxonomy places the organism in Eukaryota, Metazoa, Arthropoda, Insecta, Diptera, Culicidae.
UACGGCCACGUACAAUCUGUGCUUCGGAAGAACCACCAUCAAACACGAGUUUCAUCUCGUACAGAAUCUUGUCAACCUGGAGUAUGAUGGCAUGUUGGGGUGCGACUUCGUAGUGAAAUAUGGAUGCUCCAUCAACUUCGAGCGCUAUCUGAUUACGAUGAAUUUUGACUAAUAGUAGUGUAAAGCAAGUGGAAUUUUGCUACACAGAAAACUGAACUUCACAUAGCGUUAUCUGCAAGCAGAUAGAACAUGGUUCUAUUACUGGUGUAAUAGUUUUUCCAUUAUUAUUCAUUGACAUGUCUUGCCUAAUGAAGUCAUGUAUUACCAGGCCAUGAAUAAAAUAAUGAACUAACAUCAAUCAUUGCUUGCAAAACUCAUAUGAAACAGUUGCAAAAUGUUUAUACGACCCCUUGCAUUACGCAACGAACAGAAUUGGAGCCAUCAUAAAGGUUCGUGCGAUCCCCUGUGUUCCGUACACCGCAGCGACACAACCGUCUUAAGGAUGCGUUUAGUUUUCAGCUGCCUGCUGCUGGAAAGGAGCCGAAUUAUUUUACCCAUGGAUUUUUGUCCCCAUCUCACAGCACAAAGGAAAAGAAAAGCACAAGACGGGGGAAGGACAACCACCACCCGGAUUGGUAUCUGUUUUUCUUAGAUUCAAAAUUGAAUUAAAGCAAGUCACCUAGAAACCCCCGACAGUACCCCGGUGCGUGCACAGCAGCUGUCCGAGGUAGGUGUUUGUUUUUUGUUCUUUUAAUGCUUUCCGGCGGUUGCUCACUAUCCCCCCCGCCAAGAGGCUAAGCGGAACAGCAAAAGGACACACAGAAGUACGCGCGGCGAGAAAACGCGACGAAUUAGCGAAGCUCAAGAUAGAGCUUCUUCCCCUAAAUUGAACCGGAAUUCAAUUUAACUGUCACUGGCCGGUGACUUGGCCGACCGAAAGCAUCUUUUUUAAAAUUCGUUUGUAGUGAAAGGCGAAUAUUUCCUGGCGUUUGGUGAGAGCUUUUUUGGAAAAAGUUAGAGAAAAACUUGUACUUAAGGUGAUUUUUAGAGUAUCUUGGAGCAAGCAAAAGCCAUAAAUUAAUUAAACUUGGGAGCGUUUGUGUAUCAAUCUCCAUCAUCCUGUUCUAGUUGCAAGCAAUAUAAAUAUCUUUCUUGCCACUCACCUGCCAUAUAUUCUUCAACAAUUCGUGUCCAAAGAU